RNAcentral lists this ribosomal RNA (466 nucleotides) under uncultured bacterium. Its description in RNAcentral is "partial 16S ribosomal RNA". It matches the Rfam family "Bacterial small subunit ribosomal RNA", at positions 30 to 507 of the family's 1533-position model. The record is from RNAcentral.
CGAACGCUGGCGGCGUGCUUAACACAUGCACGUCGAACGGAAAGGCCCUGCUUUUGUGGGGUGCUCGAGUGGCGAACGGGUGAGUAACACGUGAGUAACCUGCCCUUGACUUUGGGAUAACUUCAGGAAACUGGGGCUAAUACCGGAUAGGAGCUCCUGCCGCAUGGUGGGGGUUGGAAAGUUUCGGCGGUUGGGGAUGGACUCGCGGCUUAUCAGCUUGUUGGUGGGGUAGUGGCUUACCAAGGCUUUGACGGGUAGCCGGCCUGAGAGGGUGACCGGCCACAUUGGGACUGAGAUACGGCCCAGACUCCUACGGGAGGCAGCAGUGGGGAAUAUUGCACAAUGGGCGGAAGCCUGAUGCAGCAACGCCGCGUGCGGGAUGACGGCCUUCGGGUUGUAAACCGCUUUCGCCUGUGACGAAGCGUGAGUGACGGUAAUGGGUAAAGAAGCACCGGCUAACUACGUG